This 253-nucleotide ribosomal RNA is filed under the name uncultured prokaryote. Its description in RNAcentral is "partial 16S ribosomal RNA". It matches the Rfam family "Bacterial small subunit ribosomal RNA", at positions 524 to 776 of the family's 1533-position model. The record is from RNAcentral.
CACGGGGGGAGCGAGCGUUGUUCGGAAUUACUGGGUGUAAAGGGCUCGUAGGCGGGGAAGAAGGUCGGAUGUGAAAACUUAUGGCUUAACCAUAAGCCUGCAUCCGAAACCACUUCUCUUGAGUAUCGGAGAGGAUAGCGGAACUCCUGGUGUAGCGGUGAAAUGCGUAGAUAUCAGGAGGAACGCCGGUGGCGAAGGCGGCUAUCUGGCCGAAUACUGACGCUCAGGAGCGAAGGCCGGGGGAGCAAACAGG